AUGCUUUUGAACUGCGGUUUUGGAGCAGACUCUUGAGAGUCCCUUGGACUGCAAGGACAUCUGUUAAAAUAUUCCUAGACUUUUCUGAGAAAGAUCAUCAAGUCCUUUCUUCCCCUUUUCUCCUGGAAGCUGGGCCAGUUGGAUAUUAAUUAGGUCUUUAUUUGACAUUCUCGUAACUAUUGGUAGCUUCAUGAACAAUCUUUUCCCCUAGGCAAGGCUUGAGGGAUACCAGUUUGUGAAUAUGUUCUUUUUCUUUUAAGAAAAGUUAGUACUGCCUCUGCUAGUUUCCAUGGCUGCAUCUCUGUGCAUCUGGAUAUAGGAAAUCAUUUGCUAUUUUUUUUAAAGUAAUUUUAUUUGUUUAUUUUGACUGUGAUGGGUCAUCGUUGCUGUGAGGGCAUGUCUCUAGUUGCAACGAGCAAGGGCUACUUCUUAGUCAUGGUGCUCAGGCUUCUCAUUGCAGAGGCUUCUCUUGUUGGGGACUGCAGGCGCUAGCGCGUUGGCUCAGCCGUUGCGGCGCAUGGGCUCAGUUGCCCCUCAACAUGUCGGAUUUUCUUGGAUCAGAGAUGGAACACUUGUUUCCUGCAUUGGUAGGCAGAUUCUUUACUGAGCCACCGGGGAAGCCUGAACAUCAUUUACCUUUAAUCGUAUUAUUCUGGGGUCUGGCCAGAGUGAGCUUUGUGUUCUGUAUUUGUGGUUUUUAUACAUGUCGCAGUGUCUACUGACAGAGAUACAUCACUUAGAAGAGAACACUACUGAACAGUUGCAAGCCUGCAAUGGAAAUAAAAGAGGUGGCAAGAUGGGCUAGAAUGCAAACAAAUUAAUCAGUCACUGAGAAGCCUGGGAUUCAUGUUUAAAAUGCUUAGAGAUGGUGCCACAUGUAAGUAAGAAUACAGCACACGUCAUUGUUCUGCUGCUCUGUGCGUGUUUUUGCAGACUGUGCCCUUGCUGCUGCCUCCCGGUUUCCUCAUUGUUCACAGGUGACACACCUUCCCUGUGUUGCUUCCUUCCCUGUUUUUCCACAGAGUGGAGCUGUAACUGCACCGAGAUGAGGCCAACAAAAUUCCAGAGAUCAAAUGAUAAUGAGAAUGACCACAAGUGUCUGUUUACUUAUUGACAGGCGAGGGGAAAUAACUCAUCAGGUUUCGUUUGAAGAUCUCAGGGUGUGGAAAUCAGACUUUUAGAUCUUAAUCCAGUGAGAAUAAAAGAUGAACCACCUCUCAUGUCUGCUCAUGACAAGUCAUUUCUUUACUCUGGGUACGAAUCGCAUCCUCAGUGGUCUGAAAUAUGCCUUUCAAAGAGAUAAGUUGUUUGUUUUUCAGAUGACGGCACCUCACAGGUGUGCUCAGCCUGGCAGGACGAUAGCAUCUGGUAUGUGGAAAAGAAGAGCCUUUCUUGUGUGUGUUAUUCAGUAAGUUGGCAAAUACUUAUUGAUGCAGUUUGUGCCAAGAGGUGUUCUUAGUGUUCCCAAGGGUAGAGCAGAGAACUGAACAGGUGAGUCUCUGACCUUAAGGAGCUUCCACUUGAGUGGAAGGAGACAGUUAAUAAAAGUUUAUCCGGGCAAGAAAUAAAAUAGGGUCACAUGUUACAGAUUGGCCUAGACUGAUCAGGAAAGACCUCUGAGGAGGGACUUCUGAACUGAGGUCUGAAUGUUGGGAAGAAACCAACCGAUUGACAACUUUGAGGGAGCAGGGGCCGAGCUCCACAUGUUGAACAGAAACAAGGUCCCUGCAUCGGGAUGUGAUAAGGGAGGAAGAAGGAGUCCAGCCUGAUUUGGAGCCAUCUUUGAUCCCUUCUCCACCUCCCAUGAACACUGGGCCACUGGAUGCUGCCCGUUUGCCUUCAACCUGGUCACUCUUGUUGGUUCUGUCUUUCUAAAUGUUGCCAUACUCUAAAGGGAAUCUUCCUGACCCAGGGAUCGAACCUGCAUCUCCUGCACUGGCAGUUGGGUUCUUUACCACUGUACCACCUGGGAAGCCCAAGUAUUCAAAGGCCAUUGAUGGUAGGAAGAGGUCUUCAGCGUAAUUACAGCUGCUCCCAUCAUAGUGUGCCCUGUUGCCCUGCAGACUGAUAGCAAAUGAAGGUUUUACUUCUGUGCCAGUUUUGCAGGAAUUUUUCCUCACUGCAUUCCACAAGCCCAGAGAAACUCGCUGGAACUCAUACAAAACCCUCUCCUGCUGCCAUAUUAGGAAUCAAAAUGUGUAGCAGAACCCUACUGCCAAGUCGAGAUAAUCAACAGGGAAUGUCUGUGCCUUCAAGCCAAAUGAGUGCAGAGAAAUGAUCAAGGCAGCAAAAUAAAUAAUAAAACAGGACUGGCUUUAGAUUGUGGUCUUGUUAUAUCCCACUCACUAAUAAAGCUGUGCUGGAAAUUUCUGUACCUCUUGUCUAGUCAAGCACCAGAGUCUAGUUCUGGCUCAUGUUACUGUGGAUAUAACACACUCUAGGUCACAAGUGUAGCGAAAUGAAAUAACAUAUCUCUGUCUUGUUAACUGCAUCAAAAAUUGUUGUGGUUUGCACACCUCCUCAGUCUUCUACCUUAAUACCAAACUGAUUCUGCAGUACUUUAAAUUUUAGAUUUUUCUUUUGCCAGCUUUUGGAAAGGGCCUCUCAGUAUGUGGAAGUUACCAGGAAACGAUCCAGCUAUUGCUUUCACUCCAACUGAAGCUGGUUGUGAGAUAAGUAGUAUCUUCCUAACUUAUACCCAGCACUUGGUCUAUCACAUACUUGACUGGAAAUAAAUGUUUAAUUAAUACAUGUGACAAAUUAAGAGCUGCUUCAAAUCACAGCACAGUGGUUCUGGGAUCCUAGCGAGGGACAGGAUGGGGAUUAUAUAGUGAGGGCUGAGCCAUCAUCUAGUGACUUAAACAGACUAUUGUGGAACGAACUGCCUGCUUUAUGGAGACAGUAACGGUUACACCUGAUAACGUAAUGCUCGUACGAUGAGAAACUUGACCUUGCGGCCACAUUUCAGAAGUUUUAAAGGAGGCAGGUGUAAGAAGUGAGGAGAUCAGAGAACAGAAGCUUUCAUAAAUCAAGACAAUAGAUAACAGGAGUCUGCGUGAGAGCAAAACUGUAGACUCAGGAUGAAGCAAAGAAUUCAGAGCUAUUACAAUGUAAUUUGUGUGCUGUGACUCCCUGGGAAAUUAUAAUUAUCAGAGAAAUAACAGACCCAUGGUCAAAUUGCCUCGGUCAUAUUACCUGGAUGAGAAAAAGAAAAUAACAAAGGGGGAAAAAGUGGUCUAGAACAUUUGAAGGUACAGGGACAAACCAACAAAAACGCUUUCCUUGUAUGACUCCAGCAUGCCAUGGUUUACAAGAUGUCCCUGGAUCUUGUCUCAUUUGACACUUUGUGAAGUCUGCAGGGAGGACCUCCUUACUCCCUUAAGCCAAGUGAGGGCACAGGUUGAAUCAAUUCUGCUAAAUAACUUGCCCAAAUUCUCCGUAAGACUGUGCACUAGAUGUCAAGUCCUUUCUCAAACUCCCACUAAUGCCAGCCUAAGAGGUUGUUGGUGCCUUCUGGGGGUUCCGCCUUUCCUUUGUGAUGAGACUUAGUAACAGCUCCCCAGUUUGUUCGUUUCGUUGUCCAGCCUUCCAUUUGAGCAAUCUGUAAUAGUCACGGGAGCCCACAGCUUGGCUUUGGGGAGGUAAAGCUCUGCCCUGAAUGGACAGAGAGAUGGGGGUGGAAUGCCUUUUGUUAGGAGGACUGGGAAACGAUGCCCAGAUGCCUGGGCUGCGGCUGCCAUCUCCUGUUCAGAGUGCUCACCCAGACCUGCCCUAUCACAACGUUUCAGAAAAGGCAAUGGCAACCCACUCCAGGACUCUUGCCUGAAGAAUGCCAGGGAUGGGGGAGCCUGGUGGGCUGCCGUCUAUGGGGUCUCACAGAGUCAGACACGACUGAAGCAACUUAGCAGCAGCAGCAGCAACACACGUUUGCUGUAAAUCCGAGUGCCAUACCCAGGUCCAUCUGAUUCCAGGUGAGGCUCAGGAAUAUUCCUCCCUGCCUUUGAGGGUCCCUAUUCAACCUGUUCUGGAGGCCGUGACUUCUGGUGGCCAGCACUGCAAGGUGGUGAGAACAGGAUGAAGGGUGUGAAGGCUAUUGUUUGCAGGAAGAGGGAGCGGGAAGAAGAGGUCUGCGAGGUGGAGACAUGGUCAAAGAUGGAGGCAAGGAAGACGGCAAGGUGCAUCUACUCUGUCUUGCGUGACCCAUCACUACAACGGAAACCUCUGUGCCGGCCACAUGCAAGAGAGACGAGGGGGCACAGAAAAUCGGGUCCGCUCCUGAUUUCAGAAGCAGUCAUCAAAGGAGCCUCAGACGAAGCUGACCUGUCCAGAUAAAUCACUUAUGUGAAUUCUGGUUGUAUAUCUCACCAUCCACCGAAGCUUGGAAAUAACUCACAGACGAAUUCAGCUUUUUUGUUCCUGAUGCUAUAGCGUAGAUUCUUAAAGGAUCUGGCGGGUUCUUUAUCACUGAGCCUCCUGGGCGGCCCUGGCCUUUCCCAAGGAGGAGGGAAUUCUGCCUGCAGACUGCCUGCGGAUUUUUGAGCUGCAGCAUCCACUCUGCCCUGGUUCUCCAGCCUCCUGCCUACCCUGACAACCUUGAAAAUUUCAUAAAAUGUAAUGGAAUUACAAGACAUUUUCCCCCUCGGACCUGGUUAUUCUGGAAAUCAUAAUCCAAUGGAGGAAAGGACCACGAGCCAAGGAAGGUAGAUGAUCUCUAGAAGCUGGAAAAGCAACAAAACGGAUUCUGUCCUACAGCAUCAACUGUUGCUGAUGCGUCCUUUCCCGUGCCUGAACUUCAGAUAAAAUUUAAUUUUGAUUCAAGCUAUGAAAUACCUGAUAAGGAAGGAAUUCAUUUUGCUGUUUCCCUUGGCAUUCUGCAUACUCGUGUUAUGGAAAGACAUGGAGGUCACCAUCUUUUCACUUUGAACUGGAAUUCAUGCUGUUAAACUGUCAAUUGUGGGAUUUUUUCAAAGCCAUAAGAGGUUCGAGAGUAGAUCAUCAUUCUCUGCCUGACCUCCCGGAACUAGGGACACAGCUCCGCCUGCAAUAGGGUGAGGAAGCGCAGUCAUGUCACUGCCCCCUAAGGAGGGAUGGCCAGAAAUACUCCAACGGUACUGAUGAUCCCUAUAUCAACCUAAGGCUUGGGAAAGAGCAGAGAACACUGGUAAUUCACAGUGCUCGAAGGCAGCCUCCACUGCACCACGUCAAACUGCAGUGAAUGGUGUUGAUAAUGAACUGAUCAAUUGCUCUAACACAUUUGAGAAUGUGGGAUAAGAGUCCACUACGAAACUGGGUAAAACGAAUGAGGUCUUCAGCUUCAGGGAGUGCUCUUGCCGACAACUCACAGCUGAGGAAUCUCUCCUAAAGAAAUGCCUUUGGCUAAAGGGAACUGCUUUGCCCAGGCUUUAACCCACUUCCCCAGGGACAGCCCACAUCCAGUGCCUGGGAUGCCGGUGGAAAGGAACUGAAGCUAUGAGACACCCUAAAGAAAGUGAAGCUGAGAGAAGAGAAGCAGCAUGCGUGCCGCCCCAGAGUUAAUAAGGAAGAGUCAGGGUUCCAAAGGCAGCUGAUCCCAGGGCUCAUGUCUGUGACCACCGUGCAGUCCCGCCCUCUGGCUGUCCUGCUUGCUUUGGCUUGGUUUUCAGUUCUUUCUGAGUUUCACUACAUAGUAUCUUGCAAAAACUAAUAUUGAUUGUAAUCUGAGUAUCUGUACCUUAUUAAUCAAGAAAGCAUAAUGAGAAGUAAAAUCUGCUAUGUGGGUUCACUAGG
This is a long non-coding RNA of Bubalus bubalis (water buffalo), 5766 nucleotides long. RefSeq lists it as uncharacterized. The transcript has 14 exons. The record is from RefSeq and is a predicted model, not a curated record. Lineage: Eukaryota; Metazoa; Chordata; Mammalia; Artiodactyla; Bovidae.